GGCGCACGGGUGCGUAACGCGUAUGCAAUCUACCUUGUACAGGGGAAUAGCCCAGAGAAAUUUGGAUUAAUGCCCCAUAGUAUAUAACCUUCGCAUGUUGGUUAUAUUAAAGUUCCAACGGUACAAGAUGAGCAUGCGUCCCAUUAGUUAGUUGGUAAGGUAACGGCUUACCAAGACGAUGAUGGGUAGGGGUCCUGAGAGGGAGAUCCCCCACACUGGUACUGAGACACGGACCAGACUCCUACGGGAGGCAGCAGUGAGGAAUAUUGGUCAAUGGUCGCAAGACUGAACCAGCCAUGCCGCGUGCAGGAAGACGGUCCUAUGGAUUGUAAACUGCUUUUAUACAGGAAGAAACCCUCCCACGUGUGGGAGCUUGACGGUACUGUAGGAAUAAGGAUCGGCUAACUCCGUGCCAGCAGCCGCGGUAAUACGGAGGAUCCAAGCGUUAUCCGGAAUCAUUGGGUUUAAAGGGUCCGUAGGCGGCCUUAUAAGUCAGUGGUGAAAGCCCAUCGCUCAACGAUGGAACUGCCAUUGAUACUGUAAGGCUUGAAUUUUUGUGAAGUAACUAGAAUAUGUAGUGUAGCGGUGAAAUGCUUAGAUAUUACAUGGAAUACCAAUUGCGAAGGCAGGUUACUAACAAACGAUUGACGCUGAUGGACGAAAGCGUGGGGGAGCGAACAGGAUUAGAUACCCUG
RNAcentral lists this ribosomal RNA (695 nucleotides) under Flavobacterium sasangense. RNAcentral's name for it is "bacterial SSU rRNA". It matches the Rfam family "Bacterial small subunit ribosomal RNA", at positions 97 to 789 of the family's 1533-position model. The record is from RNAcentral. Lineage: Bacteria; Pseudomonadati; Bacteroidota; Flavobacteriia; Flavobacteriales; Flavobacteriaceae.